AUUGAACGCUGGCGGCAGGCCUAACACAUGCAAGUCGAACGGUAGCACAGAGAGCUUGCUCUCGGGUGACGAGUGGCGGACGGGUGAGUAAUGUCUGGGAAACUGCCCGAUGGAGGGGGAUAACUACUGGAAACGGUAGCUAAUACCGCAUAACGUCGCAAGACCAAAGUGGGGGACCUUCGGGCCUCACACCAUCGGAUGUGCCCAGAUGGGAUUCGCUAGUAGGGGGGGUAAUGGCUAACCUAGGCGACGAUCCCUAGCUGGUCUGAGAGGAUGACCAGCCACACUGGAACUGAGACACGGUCCAGACUCCUACGGGAGGCAGCAGUGGGGAAUAUUGCACAAUGGGCGCAAGCCUGAUGCAGCCAUGCCGCGUGUAUGAAGAAGGCCUUCGGGUUGUAAAGUACUUUCAGCGGGGAGGAAGGCGGUGGAGUUAAUAACUUCACCGAUUGACGUUACCCGCAGAAGAAGCACCGGCUAACUCCGUGCCAGCCGCCGCAGUAA
This 504-nucleotide ribosomal RNA is filed under the name uncultured bacterium. RNAcentral describes it as "partial 16S ribosomal RNA". It matches the Rfam family "Bacterial small subunit ribosomal RNA", at positions 30 to 523 of the family's 1533-position model. The record is from RNAcentral.